AUGCGAAACAGGGCUUCGGCCCUGUCGUCCGGAGGUGGCGCUCCGGGCCUGAUGAGCAGCCAGGG
RNAcentral lists this non-coding RNA (65 nucleotides) under Geobacter anodireducens. The record is from RNAcentral. Lineage: Bacteria; Pseudomonadati; Thermodesulfobacteriota; Desulfuromonadia; Geobacterales; Geobacteraceae.